RNAcentral lists this ribosomal RNA (253 nucleotides) under uncultured bacterium. RNAcentral's name for it is "partial 16S ribosomal RNA". It matches the Rfam family "Bacterial small subunit ribosomal RNA", at positions 524 to 776 of the family's 1533-position model. The record is from RNAcentral.
UACGAAGGGUGCAAGCGUUACUCGGAAUUACUGGGCGUAAAGCGUGCGUAGGUGGUUUUUUAAGUCAGAGGUGAAAUCCUGGAGCUCAACUCCAGAACUGCCUUUGAUACUGGAGAGCUUGAGUCCGGGAGAGGUGAGUGGAACUGCGAGUGUAGAGGUGAAAUUCGUAGAUAUUCGCAAGAACACCAGUGGCGAAGGCGGCUCACUGGCCCGGUACUGACGCUGAGGUGCGAAAGCGUGGGGAGCAAACAGG